UGGUGGGUAGUUUGACUGGGGCGGUCUCCUCCCAAAGAGUAACGGAGGAGCACGAAGGUUAGCUAAUCCUGGUCGGACAUCAGGAGGUUAGUGCAAUGGCAUAAGCUAGCUUGACUGCGAGAGUGACGGCUCGAGCAGGUGCGAAAGCAGGUCAUAGUGAUCCGGUGGUUCUGAAUGGAAGGGCCAUCGCUCAACGGAUAAAAGGUACUCCGGGGAUAACAGGCUGAUACCGCCCAAGAGUUCAUAUCGACGGCGGUGUUUGGCACCUCGAUGUCGGCUCAUCACAUCCUGGGGCUGAAGUAGGUCCCAAGGGUAUGGCUGUUCGCCAUUUAAAGUGGUACGCGAGCUGGGUUUAGAACGUCGUGAGACAGUUCGGUCCCUAUCUGCCGUGGGCGCUGGAGAAUUGAGGGGGGCUGCUCCUAGUACGAGAGGACCGGAGUGGACGCAUCACUGGUGUUCGGGUUGUCAUGCCAAUGGCACUGCCCGGUAGCUAAAUGCGGAAGAGAUAAGUGCUGAAAGCAUCUAAGCACGAAACUUGCCCCGAGAUGAGUUCUCCCUGAGACUUUAAGUCUCCUGAAGGAACGUUGAAGACUACGACGUUGAUAGGUCGGGUGUGUAAGCGCAGCGAUGCGUUGAGCUAACCGAUACUAAUGAACCGUGAGG
This 663-nucleotide ribosomal RNA is filed under the name Enterobacter ludwigii. RNAcentral describes it as "partial 23S ribosomal RNA". It matches the Rfam family "Bacterial large subunit ribosomal RNA", at positions 2259 to 2916 of the family's 2925-position model. The record is from RNAcentral. Lineage: Bacteria; Pseudomonadati; Pseudomonadota; Gammaproteobacteria; Enterobacterales; Enterobacteriaceae.